AGAAAAUAGGAGGAAUAGUUAAUUUUUUUUAUAUAUAGGUGGAAUUUGUGUAUAAAAGGUUAAACCUUACUUUUCUUCUCUUUGAUGCCAUGAAAAUUGAGGUGUAGACCGGGAUUAGAUACCCCGCUAUUCUUUUUAGUAAAUUUUGAUUGUUACAAUUUACCAGAGUAUUACGAGCUGUUGAAAAAUAACUUUUGCUUAAAACUCAAAAAACUUGGCGGUGCCUUAAUUCUUUCCAGGGGAACCUGUUCUGUAAUCGAUAAUCCACGUUUUAGCUUACUUUUUUUAGACUAUAGUAGUAACUCAGCUUGUAUACCGUCGUCGUCAGAUUACCUUUAAGAGAAUAAGAAGUUAUCAAAUUAAAUAGAUCUAUGACUACUGUAGUAUAGAUUUCUUGUGAUGUCAGAUCAAGGUGCAGCUUAUAAAAAAGUAGAAAUGGGUUACAUUAAAUAUUUUUUAUGGAUANUAGACUGUAAAGUCUAAUUGAAAUUGGACUUGGAAGUAAUAUAUUUAUUAAUAUAUAAGAAAGAUUAUAUGAAUUAUAGUACUGGGGUGCGC
This 558-nucleotide ribosomal RNA is filed under the name Fossarina petterdi. Its description in RNAcentral is "partial 12S ribosomal RNA". The record is from RNAcentral. Lineage: Eukaryota; Metazoa; Mollusca; Gastropoda; Trochida; Trochidae.